This 1328-nucleotide long non-coding RNA is filed under the name Oryza sativa Japonica Group (Japanese rice). RNAcentral describes it as "partial lncRNA68868". Lineage: Eukaryota; Viridiplantae; Streptophyta; Magnoliopsida; Poales; Poaceae. The record is from RNAcentral.
GAGGAUAUGGUAAUUUAGUGUCCAUUAUGGUGUUUCUUAAUUGCUUUUUGCUUUUUAUUUUAUCUAUCGGAUUUUAAUCUAAAGAUUAAAAAUCUGUGUGAUACGAUUAUAAAAAUCUUUCGAAAGAUGUAUAGGUACUCCCAUACUUUAAUUACAAGUAUCACUCGUUCUUCUAGCUGAAAACUCAUUUUUGAGAUGAUGGACAGUGUCACUGCGGAGGUCACGAAGAGGUACACAUUAGUGUUCUGUUUCAUUCUUCCUGCAAACAAAAAGGUUGUAUUAAAGGGGAUCAUGAAUUAGAUGUGAAAGUCCUUCAACACAUAUGCAUGACUGAAUGAAUUGGCUGUUGCCCGAAUGCAGGAGCAACCAAUAUAAAUAUAAGAUCAUUUCUUUCAUAAGUAGUUCAGAGUUUUACAGUUUUGCAUACACUCUACACAACCCUUAAAACACAUUUCAACUUUCUGAUAUGUUUAUUGAAUCUAGUUUAUACGUGCCAUUUGACUGUACUGCAUACGAGAUGUUGGAGUAAACCAACCAUACCCAUGCAAUAGGAGGGUGAGCAAAUAAUGUUGCGAAUAGAAAUAGGAGAUACUUGUAGUAAAUAAGUUCAAAUGUUUAUGUUCUAAUUAAUUCUAGUUCGUAAAAUAGACGGUGGGGUAUAUAGUUGUAUAAAAGUGCACCAUGUACUUCAGCAGCACAAUGGUUGCAAAGAACAUCAAAUUGUGCACACUCUUUCGUAGAAUAGGAACCAUCAACUGUUUGAUAAAUCCGGUUUGGAUGAGGUAUUAUGUACUGUUUAAAUAAACUUGUCUUAGUUCAAAAAUUGAAUAUCUCUUUCUAUUACUAUGUAUUACAACAUGUCCAAUGUAUCCUGCUCUAGUCGGCAUUAGUACUCAAUUUUUUGUUGUGAGGCCAUACAACAUAAUGCGGUAGUAAGAUAGGGGCAUCAGUACUCAAUUUGGUGUGGAGCCAUGCAAUAUAAUGAGGUAGUAAGAUAGUAAGAUAGGGGCAUCAGUACUCAAUUUGGUAGUAAGAUAGGUGCAUCAGUACCGGAAAUGCUGUUCGGUGAUCGAUCACUCUGGCCCCUCCCCCUCCCUCCCUCCACCUGGUUUCCUUUUUUGACACCGCAUUACUUUCCUAUUUUAGUAAAUUUAUACACCUAAAGUUUAUACACCUCAAGUUUACACAUCUAAAGUUUAGAGACCAAAAGUUUAUAAGUCAAAAGUUUAUAUAUCCGAUUCAAAUUUGAAUUUGAAUUUAAAUAUUUUUUUAUAUAUAGUAUUUCUAUACAUGUAAAGUUUAUACACCUAAAGUUUAUAGACCUAAAG